Long non-coding RNA from Bombyx mori (domestic silkworm), 431 nucleotides. RefSeq lists it as uncharacterized. The record is from RefSeq and is a predicted model, not a curated record. NCBI's taxonomy places the organism in Eukaryota, Metazoa, Arthropoda, Insecta, Lepidoptera, Bombycidae. The transcript is spliced from 3 exons.
UAACGACACUGUCAAAUUAAAAUAUUAAUUAUGUUUCGAUAUUAUUACAAGUUCCGAACAAUUAUAUUAAGACCGUCGGUCUACCGAACAAUUAUUUAACCCGCUCGAGUGAAGAUUCGUUUGCUUUAUUUCCUCCAAAGUUCAUAAAUUAUCAAACGUACUAUAAUAAGAUAGAAUCUUAACGCGUCUUCCUCGUGGUCUGGAGGACUUAUAAUACAUUAUGGCUCAAGGGUAAGAAUAAUGCUCACGAGAUUAAAGCCUUCACGUGCGCCUUGGAGAAUGCAUCACCAUAAACCACGGUGCCAUAUAAACUUUAGUUGUGUACCAAGAAAAUAUAGUUUUAUAUCUAAGUUGUCUUUUCUAUAAAGAUAAAUAUCUGAAUAUAGCAUCUGAGCUGUAUAAACUUAAGAACUGUUUCAAUAAAUGUCCAA